This is a long non-coding RNA of Platichthys flesus (European flounder), 2396 nucleotides long. RefSeq lists it as uncharacterized. NCBI's taxonomy places the organism in Eukaryota, Metazoa, Chordata, Actinopteri, Pleuronectiformes, Pleuronectidae. The record is from RefSeq and is a predicted model, not a curated record. The transcript is spliced from 2 exons.
CCCCAAUGUACAUCUGUUUUGAAUUGCUCUUCUAUAAUCUGACAUCUGUCCCUGAUCGGCUCGAAGAAGAACCACAUCUGGAUAACUUUCUAGAUUUUGAUUUGUUUAUAGGCUUGUUGUGGCUCUCCCCGUUUUCCACUGGUACGAUCCGGCACCUCGUCACAGUGAGAAGGAACAAGAGUGUCCUGUCUCAACCCGCUGUGAAACAAAGGCUGCUGUUAUUAGUUCUAACAAAAUGGUCUUUGUGUCAAAAGCAGAACCGUGUGGAACAAGCUGUAGAUGACGUCUCAACCUAUUCGCUCGUAUGUUAAUUGGCCUAAAUCGAAGCACAAGAAACAAAGCAACAAAAUGUUCUUCCACUGAAUCUCAGACGUCAUGAAGAUGAUCAGCUCCAAACGUUCUGCCGAUAGAAAAUCGAUAACCAACCCGACUUCACGUUUUCUCUUCGUUGAACUUUGUGCCUCGUACCGACGUUUGAGUAGAUCUCAGUCGUGUCUUUGAGUAGAUUUGAUGUGGAACUAGAAACAAACAUAUUCACAAUAUUACAUUUCUACAAUUCUCUCAAAGUGAAAAUCAAAGGGGUUUCUUCCUCAGUGAAUUUGAUGAAGACGUUUCUCUAUACUUGUUUCUGUUCGUGUAUUUAUUUGGUGUAUUUGCAGUUAACAUAUCGUGGCUGAGGACAGAGAGGAGUUUUUAUCUUCAAUCAUAGUUUUGUCUAAAAGUUCUUUAUACAAACGCUGUGUGAAAGGUCGAAGAAUGUAACAACACGUGUGGUGGAGAGCUUUCCUGAUGCUAAGAACGUGGCUGGUUUAACUGGUGCAGAGAUGGUUUGAUUGGGGCAGAGAUGGUUUGAUUGGUGCAGAGAUGGUUUGAUUGGUGCAGAGAUGGUUUGAUUGGUGCAGAGAUGGUUUGAUUGGUGCAGAGAUGGUUUGAUUGGUGCAGAGAUGGUUUGAUUGGUGCAGAGAUGGUUGGAUUGGUGCAGAGAUGGUUUGAUUGGUGCAGAGGUUCGACUGUCAGCCACACGUGCCUUUGUGUCCUGCUGGGAGGAAACGCUCAGAAACCAGUCUGAUUUGAACUGGUUUCCUCUGAUGUUUGGAGCUGAACACAGGUCUUGUACAUAUCAAGUGUAAAACGACACUUUCAAAGCACCGACUCAGAAUUUCAGCCGCUGUCUUUUCCUGGAGCUGCCGCUCAAACAAGCACAAAGAUUAACCAGCGGGUGCAAAACCAGAUUUCAGAUUUACUAAGACAAGACGUGUGAUUCCGACGUCUGCACGGAACUCUUAGUUUCUCUUUUAUUUUAAGUUCUGCAAAAAAAAGUUUUUUUAGCCACAAUCAUCCUGUGUUAAUCAUCAGUUCUAAUUUCAUUGGUAAAUCAGUGGAUGUUUUAAUAACACUUUAUUACAUUGAUGUUACAUCUAGAUGUGUUUUGAUUUGAUAUGGAUGAUUUUAUAUUUUUCAGUAAUUUCGAGGAUUUUAAACCAGGAACAAAACCAAACACGAACAAACAACAAACCUCAGCAGAGUUUUAUGAUCCAGUUAUUCCUCUGUAUGAUAUUUGAUCUGGAGACACAUGAACAACAGACGCAUGAACAACAGACGCUCGUUCGAUCUGUAAAAACAGACGAUCUGAUUUGAAUGUGAAGAAGCAGAAACCCUUUGAUCUCCUGGUUGCCUUGGUUACUGAGCACCAUACGACUGGCCCCGCCCACAGCCAGAAUCUGACGGGACCUGAACCCAUCCCGGCUCGGAGCAGAGAGCAGAAGACCCAGGUUGUGUUUGGAUGGUGAAUGAUUUCUGAUGAACAUGGAACAGAGUGUGACGUGUGGGAAAGGGUUCGAUUCCUGCCGACUGCAGAAAGAGGCCUGAGCGGUGUGUUGAUGGAAACAGGGAUGUGUGUGUCUGUGCAUCAAACGCUGCUCCACUAUAACAGCUGCAUAUUGUAUCAACACUUAUCAGAAGUCAAACUGCCAGACGAGAGCCACUCUCUUACGUCACCACAUUUUUUCUGUAGACAACUUCCUGUUAUUCCGUUUUUACUACACAACGCUUCGUAUAUUGACACAUUUUCAUCUUGUUGAAAAAGAAAGAAAAAAGCAUGGACCCGGCCUCGGAGCCGCGGCCCAGUGAGCUCUGCUUGUACGUGCAUGUGAACCUUUGAAUUCUCCUGUAGUCGCUCCAGACUCUACAUAGAAAUGCUAUUUUAAGAGUAUAUUCCGAAGCUGUGGUGUGAGGAGGCACAUGUAGCCUGGCUGUGCUGUGCAGUGAUUCCUUCAUUACUCCUCAUCUCUCGUUUUAGGUGCAACACUCUCGUUAUCGCUUCUCAAGGUCAAAAGAAAACUGAUUUGUUGUGUAAAGGGAAAAUCGUGUGAUGACCAAUAAAAACAUUUACUGAA